This 253-nucleotide ribosomal RNA is filed under the name uncultured bacterium. RNAcentral's name for it is "partial 16S ribosomal RNA". It matches the Rfam family "Bacterial small subunit ribosomal RNA", at positions 524 to 776 of the family's 1533-position model. RNAcentral also lists the same sequence under 2 other names. The record is from RNAcentral.
UACGUAGGGUGCAAGCGUUAAUCGGAAUUACUGGGCGUAAAGCGUGCGCAGGCGGUUUUGUAAGACAGAGGUGAAAUCCCCGGGCUCAACCUGGGAACUGCCUUUGUGACUGCAAGGCUGGAGUGCGGCAGAGGGGGAUGGAAUUCCGCGUGUAGCAGUGAAAUGCGUAGAUAUGCGGAGGAACACCGAUGGCGAAGGCAAUCCCCUGGGCCUGCACUGACGCUCAUGCACGAAAGCGUGGGGAGCAAACAGG